RNAcentral lists this ribosomal RNA (468 nucleotides) under uncultured bacterium. Its description in RNAcentral is "partial 16S ribosomal RNA". It matches the Rfam family "Bacterial small subunit ribosomal RNA", at positions 28 to 507 of the family's 1533-position model. The record is from RNAcentral.
GACGAACGCUGGCGGCGUGCUUAACACAUGCAAGUCGAACGGAAAGGCCCUGCUUUUGUGGGGUGCUCGAGUGGCGAACGGGUGAGUAACACGUGAGUAACCUGCCCUUGACUUUGGGAUAACUUCAGGAAACUGGGGCUAAUACCGGAUAGGAUCUCCUGCUGCGUGGUGGGGGUUGGAAAGUUUCGGCGGGUGGGGAUGGACUCGCGGCUGAUCAGCUUGUUGGUUGGGUAGGGGCGUCCCAAGGCUUUGACGGGUAGCCGGCCGGAGAGGGUGACCGGCCACCUUGGGACUGCGAUACGGCCCAGACUCCUACGGUAGGCAACGGUGGGGAACAUUGCACAGUGGGCGGGAGCCUGAUGCGACAACGCCGCGUGCGGGAUGACGGCCUUCGGGUUGUAAACCGCUGUCGCCUGAGACGAAGCGUGAGUGACGGUAAUGGAUAAAGAAGCACCGGCUAACUACGUG